This 492-nucleotide ribosomal RNA is filed under the name uncultured bacterium. RNAcentral describes it as "partial 16S ribosomal RNA". It matches the Rfam family "Bacterial small subunit ribosomal RNA", at positions 29 to 507 of the family's 1533-position model. The record is from RNAcentral.
AGUGAACGCUGGCGGUAGGCCUAACACAUGCAAGUCGAACGGCAGCACAGUAAGAGCUUGCUCUUACGGGUGGCGAGUGGCGGACGGGUGAGGAAUACAUCGGAAUCUACUUUUUCGUGGGGGAUAACGUAGGGAAACUUACGCUAAUACCGCAUACGACCUACGGGUGAAAGCAGGGGAUCUUCGGACCUUGCGCGAUUGAAUGAGCCGAUGUCGGAUUAGCUAGUUGGCGGGGUAAAGGCCCACCAAGGCGACGAUCCGUAGCUGGUCUGAGAGGAUGAUCAGCCACACUGGAACUGAGACACGGUCCAGACUCCUACGGGAGGCAGCAGUGGGGAAUAUUGGACAAUGGGUGCAAGCCUGAUCCAGCCAUACCGCGUGGGUGAAGAAGGCCUUCGGGUUGUAAAGCCCUUUUGUUGGGAAGGAAAAGCAGCAGGUUAAUACCCCGCUGUUCUGACGGUACCCAAAGAAUAAGCACCGGCUAACUUCGUG